This 461-nucleotide ribosomal RNA is filed under the name uncultured bacterium. RNAcentral describes it as "SSU rRNA". It matches the Rfam family "Bacterial small subunit ribosomal RNA", at positions 26 to 518 of the family's 1533-position model. The record is from RNAcentral.
AGAAUCAACGCUGGCGGCGUGCCUAACACAUGCAAGUCGAACGAGAAAGUGGUAGCAAUACCAUGAGUAAAGUGGCGCACGGGUGAGUAACACGUGACUAACCUACCCUUGAGUGGGGGAUAACUGAGGGAAACCUUAGCUAAUACCGCAUAAUACCCACGGGUCAAAGGAGCAAUUCGCUCGAGGAGGGGGUCGCGGCCGAUUAGUUAGUUGGCAGGGUAAUGGCCUACCAAGACGAUGAUCGGUAUCCGGCCUGAGAGGGCGCACGGACACACUGGAACUGAAACACGGUCCAGACUCCUACGGGAGGCAGCAGUGGGAAUUUUGCGCAAUGGGGGAAACCCUGACGCAGCAACGCCGCGUGGAGGAUGAAGUCCUUCGGGACGUAAACUCCUUUCGAUCGGGACGAUUAUGACGGUACCGGAAGAAGAAGCCCCGGCUAACUUCGUGCCAGCAGCCGC